Long non-coding RNA from Ooceraea biroi (clonal raider ant), 1273 nucleotides. RefSeq lists it as uncharacterized. Lineage: Eukaryota; Metazoa; Arthropoda; Insecta; Hymenoptera; Formicidae. The record is from RefSeq and is a predicted model, not a curated record.
AUGCAGUAUAACGCUCUCCUCUCCGAUUUUCCUGUAAUUUUGUAAAUAUGUGUAUUUUUAUGCGUAGAAUAUAUUCUAAGAAGGAAAAUCGUCGCUCAAGUCCCGUUUUUUUUCUUUUUAAUUUUAAAGGUUUUUAACGUCGGUAAAUAGGAAAAUGAUAAUUUUAAACAUAAUUAUAAACAUUUUCUCACACAUUUUCUUUUGCAAGUAUCUUUAUAUUUGUAUAGAUGAAAUUGGAGAUUUAUGCCCACAGCUUGGUAAGCAAAAUUGGCAUUACUUAUAAUCAUAAUAUUUUAAUGUAUACAUAUUCUGAACUGCCUUUUAUUGAUAAAAUACCUUUAAAAGUGGCUUGUAGUCAAUCGAAAGACUUAUAAGCCACUCUUAAAGGCACUUUCAUCGAUAAACAGAUAUAUUGUUUAUAAAUCAUUGAGUAAAUGAAAAGUAUUGUUUGUAUAAAUAGUAUAAUUCUAACAUACAACAUAAGCAACAUAUUUAUCUGCAAUGUUAGAUUGAACUACAUGUUAUAUUAAUAUAAUAAUAAUGCAAUAUGUAGAAAUAUUAUGUAUAAUAGUUUUUAUUUGAAUAUUUUUCCUGGCGGUACAGAAAUUUGAAAUUUGUAAUCGUAUUGAAUAUUUUUGUUCGAAACAAAUAAUGGAAUUAAUUAAUUAAUUAUAUGAUAUAGAUAAUGGAACCAUUAUAUAUGAAUUGCCACAUUCUGCUGCAGCUGUAUGCGAUAAAUAUUUCAUAUGAGACAUUGAAGAGCUUCUUAUAUCUUACGUAAGAGAACGAAGAGAAUUAUGGGAUCACACAUUGCCAAUUAGAAAAAAAUCUCGAGAUAUAAGCGUAUUUUACAUGGAUUGUUUAAUACGCAUAUUAAAUAGUAAAUAACUAGUGCAUCCGUUUAGUCAGUAGCCUAGUUUACACCGAUCGUUUGAUACGCGUAUCAAAUAGUACAUUUGAGCUAAUCAGCUAAUGACUAAACGGAUGCACUAGUUACUUACUAUUUAAUACGCGUAUUAAACAAUCGGUGUAAAAUACGCUAUUGGCUGAUUAGCUCAAAUGUACUAUUUGAUACGCGUAUCAAACAAUCGGUGUAAACUAGGCUAUAAUCGCAACGCACUGGCAGGAAAUCUCAAAACAAUUAAAUGGAAAUCUAACGCCAAAUGCUGCUUGCAAGAAAUGGCGAUACCUCAAGGAUUCAUAUAUACGUAUUCGCAAUGAUUUCACGAAGAAAAAAAGUGGUUCAGCUGCUAGUAAACCUAUCAAAUGGAAA